UGGUGGAGAAUCACCAGGAAGUUGAAUAAAUCUCAUAGGAGCUGGGAUGAAGAAGUUAUCCCACUUUCAAAUCCGGUGAUUCCAGUUUUCCAGUUUGGGAAUAUGACAGCUUCUUCGUCGUUCCAAUCAAACCAAGAUGAAUCACUUUGUAAGAAACUUUAUUUGGAUACAUAAAGUGGUCUAGAAUAACCAGGAAGUUGAAUAAAUCUCAUAGGAGUUGAGAGGAAGAAGUUAUCCCACUUUUAAAUCAGGUGAUUCCAGUUUCCCACUUUGGGAAUUGGACAGCUUCUGUGUCGUUCCAAUCAAACCAGGGUGAAUCACUUUGUAAGAAGCUUGAUUUGGAUACAUAAAGGGGCCGGGAAUCACCAGGAAGUUGAAUAAAUCUCAUAGGAACUGAGAUGAAGAAGUUAUCCCACUUUCAAAUCAGGUGAUUCCAGUUUGGAAAUAUGACAGUUUCUUCGUCGUUCCAAUCAAACCACGAUGAAUCACUUUGUAAGAAUCUUGAUUUGGAUACAUAAAGUGGUGGAGAAUCACCAGGAAAUUGAAUAAAUCUCGUAGGAGCUGGGAUGAAGAAGUUAUCCCACUUUCAAAUCAGGUGAUUCCAGUUUCGCAGUUUGGGAAUAGGACACCUUCUUUGUCGUUACAAUCAAACCAGGAUGAAUCAUUUUUUAAGAAGCUUGAUUUGGAUACAUAA
RNAcentral lists this long non-coding RNA (694 nucleotides) under Brassica napus (rape). RNAcentral's name for it is "long non-coding RNA (BNAP_LNC020641)". The record is from RNAcentral. Lineage: Eukaryota; Viridiplantae; Streptophyta; Magnoliopsida; Brassicales; Brassicaceae.